ACGUACGCUGGCGGCACGCCUAACACAUGCAAGUCGAACGAAGUAGUAAUACUUAGUGGCAGACGGGUGAGUAACAUGUAGGUAUCUGCCCUUUGGCCUGGAAUAACACGAGGAAACUUGUGCUAAUACCGGAUAAGUCUUUACGGAGAAAGCUUUAUGCACCAUUGGAUGAGCCUGCACUUGAUUAGUUUGUUGGUGGGGUAAUGGCCUACCAAGACUGUGAUCAAUAGCUGAUUUGAGAGGAUGAUCAGCCACAUUGGGACUGAGACACGGCCCAAACUCCUACGGGAGGCAGCAGUGGGGAAUCUUGCACAAUGGAGGAAACUCUGAUGCAGCGAUGCCGCGUGAGUGAAGAAGGCCUUUGGGUUGUAAAGCUCUUUCGUCGGGGAAGAAAAUGACUGUACCCGAAUAAGAAGGUCCGGCUAACUUCGUGCCAGCAGCCGCGGUAAUACGAAGGGACCUAGCGUAGUUCGGAAUUACUGGGCUUAAAGAGUUCGUAGGUGGUUGAAAAAGUUGGUGGUGAAAUCCCAGAGCUUAACUCUGGAACUGCCAUCAAAACUUUUCAGCUAGAGUAUGAUAGAGGAAAGCAGAAUUUCUAGUGUAGAGGUGAAAUUCGUAGAUAUUAGAAAGAAUACCAAUUGCGAAGGCAGCUUUCUGGAUCAUUACUGACACUGAGGAACGAAAGCAUGGGUAGCGAAGAGGAUUAGAUACCCUCGUAGUCCAUGCCGUAAACGAUGUGUGUUAGACGUUGGAAAUUUAUUUUCAGUGUCGCAGGGAAACCGAUAAACACACCGCCUGGGGAGUACGACCGCAAGGUUAAAACUCAAAUGAAUUGACGGGGACCCGCACAAGUAGUGGAGCAUGUGGUUUAAUUCGAAGAUACGCGCAGAACCUUACCAACACUUGACAUGUUCGUCGCGACUCUAAGAGAUUAGAGUUUUCGGUUCGGCCGGACGAAACACAGGUGCUGCAUGGCUGUCGUCAGCUCGUGUCGUGAGAUGUUGGGUUAAGUCCCGCAACGAGCGCAACCCUCACUUUUAGUUGCCAUCAUUAAGUUGGGCACUCUAAAAGAACUGCCAGUGAUAAGCUGGAGGAAGGUGGGGAUGACGUCAAGUCCUCAUGGCCCUUACGUGUUGGGCUACACACGUGCUACAAUGGCAUCUACAACAGGAAGCAAAACGGCAACGUUAAGCAAAUCCCGAAAAGAUGCCUCAGUUCGGAUUGCACUCUGCAACUCGAGUGCAUGAAGCUGGAAUUACUAGUAAUCGUGGAUCAGCGUGCCACGGUGAAUGCGUUCCCGGGUCUUGUACACACCGCC
Molecule: ribosomal RNA, 1318 nt
Filed under: uncultured Alphaproteobacteria bacterium
Lineage: Bacteria; Pseudomonadati; Pseudomonadota; Alphaproteobacteria
Description: bacterial SSU rRNA
Rfam family: Bacterial small subunit ribosomal RNA
Source: RNAcentral